AGUGAACGCUGGCGGUAGGCCUAACACAUGCAAGUCGAACGGCAGCACAGUAAGAGCUUGCUCUUACGGGUGGCGAGUGGCGGACGGGUGAGGAAUACAUCGGAAUCUACUUUUUCGUGGGGGAUAACGUAGGGAAACUUACGCUAAUACCGCAUACGACCUACGGGUGAAAGCAGGGGAUCUUCGGACCUUGCGCGAUUGAAUGAGCCGAUGUCGGAUUAGCUAGUUGGCGGGGUAAAGGCCCACCAAGGCGACGAUCCGUAGCUGGUCUGAGAGGAUGAUCAGCCACACUGGAACUGAGCCACGGUCCAGACUCCUACGGGAGGCAGCAGUGGGGAAUAUUGGACAAUGGGCGCAAGCCUGAUCCAGCCAUCCCGCGUGGGUGAAGAAGGCCUUCGGGUUGUAAAGCCCUUUUGUUGGGAAAGAAAAGCAGCAGGUUAAUACCCCGCUGUUCUGACGGUACCCAAAGAAUAAGCACCGGCUAACUUCGU
This 491-nucleotide ribosomal RNA is filed under the name uncultured bacterium. RNAcentral's name for it is "partial 16S ribosomal RNA". It matches the Rfam family "Bacterial small subunit ribosomal RNA", at positions 29 to 506 of the family's 1533-position model. The record is from RNAcentral.